Saccostrea echinata is the source of this 2214-nucleotide RNA transcript. It is a transcript of the gene named beta-galactosidase-1-like protein 2, with no coding region annotated. The transcript is spliced from 17 exons. Lineage: Eukaryota; Metazoa; Mollusca; Bivalvia; Ostreida; Ostreidae. The record is from RefSeq and is a predicted model, not a curated record.
CUUCUAGAGAUAACCAAAGUCACUCUUAUCUAAGUGCAGACGACAGUGCAACGUCUGCAGAAGACAGCAACCUGUAGAGAACAAUGGACACGAGACUCUGCACCUCUGCAUGUGCCACUGCAAUAACCUUCUUGCUUAUUACCACUACGUCUGCACAGAUUAGUGAUUCUCCCUAUGUGAGUAAUGGAAGUUUGACAUUUCAGAACCGAACUUUUUAUUUGGAUGGCAAUCCGCUACAUAUUUUGAGCGGAAGUCUGCAUUAUUUUCGGGUCGUUCCGGAAUAUUGGUGGGACCGGAUGCGGAAAAUGAAGGCAUGUGGACUCAACACUCUCACACUUUAUGCUCCUUGGAAUCAACACGAGCCAUACCCCGGUAGUUACAAUUUCAAGGGAAUUCUUAACUUACGGAGAUUCAUCAAUAUGGCCCAGAGAGCGGGACUGUACGUCAUAUUCCGACCAGGGCCAUACAUCUGCUCAGAGUGGGAUUUUGGGGGUCUUCCUGCUUGGCUGUUACGGGAUCCAGAUAUGAAAGUUAGGACAAACUACCAUGGUUACCAAUCACAUGUUAGAAGGUACUUCUCCCGACUUAUCGCCGAAGUUUCAGAUUUGCAGUAUCACAGAGGCGGACCUAUCAUAGCAGUACAAGUCGAAAACGAGUUUGGUUCCUACAGUAAUGACACAAAGCAUUUACUGUUUCUUAAACAGAUUUUGGAAGAGAACGGUAUACAUGAACUUUUCUUCACGUCUGACGGCUUCUACAAUUACACAGAGGGCCUGAAUGGACUGGACAACGCCCCGUUCUAUACAGAAGCGUUACCUACUGUGAAUUUUCAGGAUAUCGCCCAGGGGGAAGAACUUUUCCGUAAAGUCGAAGCGCUUAGUGAUGACUUUCCUUUGAUGGUGACCGAGUAUUGGUCCGGAUGGUUUGAUUACUGGGGUGGCUCGCAUCACACACAGUCUCUUAAUGACUUUGGCAGCACAUUGACAGCUAUUUUGAAUCGCUCCGCGUCGAUAAACUUCUAUAUGUUCCAUGGAGGGACGAACUUUGGCUUUAUGAGUGGGGCUAACUGGGACUUUGAAAAGAAUACACUGAAGACUGACGUCACUUCCUAUGAUUACGAUGCUUUGUUGACUGAAGCUGGUGAUAUAACUGAGAAAUACAGAAUAGCUAGACAGAUCAUCCACGAAAAUAUUCACGGGAUGCCUGGACGUGAAAUACCCUACGACACGCCCAAAGAAGACUUCGGUUAUGCAGGUCGUGUUCACAUCAAACACUACAUGCCGUUAGAAAAUAUCCUAAAAAUAGCACAGAGAAUCCGGAUGAAUAAAACCGUUCCUAUGGAGCUUAUACCAUUACACCCGGUGGACAAUGAUAGCUUCAGUGGACAGAUGUACGGGUACAUCUUAUACCGGGCCAACAUUACCCACGGGGAUAACCUGACCUUCACAGACUUCCCCAGGGACAGAAUCGAGGUAUUCGUUGAUGGUAACUCUGUUGCUAUUCUGGAGGGAAUGGUGGACAAUGUAAACGUUAAUAUCUCACUGGGACAGUACAGUGGUGCCUUUCCGAGAGAAAGGGUGCUUGACAUUUUAGUUGAGAAUAGGGGACGUGUGAAUUUUGGAAUUUUUGGAGCGAGUGUCCUUGACGAACAAUUAAAAGGUUUGGACAACAACUGUUUUUUGGACGGAGAGGUAUUGGAUGACGUCGAUAUUUACCCCUUGGAAUUUGAUGAAGACUUUUACAAACGUCUUAAGAAUCAAACUGAAUGGGAGUCAUACAACAAACAGAGAGAUCUACCCGGGUUUUAUCGGGGCCAUAUGUUCAUCGCCUAUACUCCACUAGACUCAUAUCUAAAUAUGAAGGUUUGUAUCGGGGUCACAUGUUCAUCGCCUAUACUCCACUAGACUCGUAUCUAAAUAUGAAAGUUUGUAUCGGGGUCAUAUGUUCAUCGCCUAUACUCCACUUGACUCGUACUAGUAUCUAAAUAUGAAAGUUUGUAUCGGGGUCAUAUGUUCAUCGCCUAUACUCCACUAGACUCGUAUCUAAAUGUGAAGGUUUGUAUCGGGGUCAUAUGUUCAUCGCCUAUACUCCACUAGACUCAUAUCUAAAUAUGAAAGGAUGGACCAAAGGUUUUGUGUACGUCAACGGAGUUAACUUGGGUCGAUACUGGAAUAAAGGGCCCCAACAAACACUUUUUGUACCGGGUCCUUACCU